CUACGGGGGGCAGCAGUGAGGAAUAUUGCACAAUGGGGGGAACCCUGAUGCAGCAACGCCGCGUGGAGGAUGACGCAUUUCGGUGUGUAAACUCCUUUUAUAUGUCAAGAAAAUGACGGUAGCAUAUGAAUAAGCACCGGCUAACUCCGUGCCAGCAGCCGCGGUAAUACGGAGGGUGCAAGCGUUACUCGGAAUCACUGGGCGUAAAGGACGCGUAGGAGGGUUGGAAAGUCAGGUGUGAAAUCCUACAGCUUAACUGUAGAACUGCACUUGAAACUUCUAAUCUAGAGUAUGGGAGGGGGAGAUGGAAUUAGUGGUGUAGGGGUAAAAUCCGUAGAUAUCACUAGGAAUACCUAAAGCGAAGGCGAUCUCCUGGAACAUUUCUGACGCUAAGGCGUGAAAGCGUGGGGAGCAAACAGGAUUAGAUACCCGCGUAGUC
RNAcentral lists this ribosomal RNA (439 nucleotides) under uncultured bacterium. RNAcentral describes it as "partial 16S ribosomal RNA". It matches the Rfam family "Bacterial small subunit ribosomal RNA", at positions 339 to 795 of the family's 1533-position model. The record is from RNAcentral.